GGGGCCUUGGCGCAGCGGUAGCGCGUCUGAUUCCAGAUUGGAGCAUCCAGAAGGUCGUCCGUUCAAAUCGGGCAGGCCUCA
Molecule: non-coding RNA, 81 nt
Organism: Mariannaea sp. PMI_226
Lineage: Eukaryota; Fungi; Ascomycota; Sordariomycetes; Hypocreales; Nectriaceae
Source: the annotation of a GenBank genome assembly